Molecule: transfer RNA, 74 nt
Filed under: Faecalimonas umbilicata
Lineage: Bacteria; Bacillati; Bacillota; Clostridia; Lachnospirales; Lachnospiraceae
Also listed under: 2 other names
Description: tRNA-Tyr
Rfam family: tRNA
About the family: Transfer RNA (tRNA) molecules are approximately 80 nucleotides in length. Their secondary structure includes four short double-helical elements and three loops (D, anti-codon, and T loops).
Source: RNAcentral
GUCAGGGUAGCGCAGCGGAGAGGCGCAGUGCCAAGUAUCGGCAAAGGACGCAGGUUCGACUCCUGCACCUGACA